AGAGUUUGAUCCUGGCUCAGGAUGAACGCUAGCGGCAGGCCUAAUACAUGCAAGCCGAACGGUAAUUUUGGUAGCAAUACUGAGACUAGAGUGGCGUAAGGGUGCGUAACACGUAUGCAAUCUACCCGCAACAGGAGGAUAGCUCCCCGAAAGGGGAAUUAACCCUCCAUGAGAUCACACGAGGGCAUCUGAGAGUGAUUAAAUCUGAGGAGGUUGUGGAUGAGCAUGCGACUGAUUAGCUAGUUGGUAGUGUAACGGACUACCAAGGCGAUGAUCAGUAGGGGAACUGAGAGGUUGAUCCCCCACACUGGCACUGAGAUACGGGCCAGACUCCUACGGGAGGCAGCAGUAGGGAAUAUUGGUCAAUGGGUGAGAGCCUGAACCAGCCAUGCCGCGUGCAGGAAGAAGGCCUUCUGGGUUGUAAACUGCUUUUGCCGGGGGAUAAAAGACCCUUGCGAGGGAAAUUGAAGGUACCUGGUGAAUAAGCCACGGCUAACUACGUGCCAGCAGCCGCGGUAAUACGUAGGUGGCAAGCGUUGUCCGGAUUUAUUGGGUUUAAAGGGUGCGUAGGCGGUUGAUUAAGUCAGUUGUGAAAUACGGCAGCUUAACUGUCGAGGUGCAAUUGAUACUGGUUGACUUGAGUACAGACGAGGUAGGCGGAAUUGACGGUGUAGCGGUGAAAUGCAUAGAUAUCGUCAAGAACACCGAUAGCGAAGGCAGCUUACUAGACUGUAACUGACGCUGAGGCACGAAAGUGUGGGGAUCAAACAGGAUUAGAUACCCCCGUAGUCC
RNAcentral lists this ribosomal RNA (792 nucleotides) under uncultured bacterium. RNAcentral's name for it is "bacterial SSU rRNA". It matches the Rfam family "Bacterial small subunit ribosomal RNA", at positions 8 to 796 of the family's 1533-position model. The record is from RNAcentral.